RNAcentral lists this ribosomal RNA (203 nucleotides) under Micromonas pusilla. RNAcentral's name for it is "partial Bacterial small subunit ribosomal RNA". It matches the Rfam family "Bacterial small subunit ribosomal RNA", at positions 1142 to 1345 of the family's 1533-position model. Lineage: Eukaryota; Viridiplantae; Chlorophyta; Mamiellophyceae; Mamiellales; Mamiellaceae. The record is from RNAcentral.
UGUUAAACUGCCAGUGACAUACGGGAGGAAGGAGAGGAUGACGUCAAGUCCGCAUGGCCCUUAUGGGUUGGGCUACACACGUGCUACAAUGGUAUGGACAAUGAGCAGCCACUUCGCGAGAAGGAGCGAAUCUACAAACCAUAUCACAGUUCGGAUCGGAGUCUGCAACUCGACUCCGUGAAGUCGGAAUCGCUAGUAAUCGC